ACUAGAAUGAACGGCUAAAUGAGGAUUAGACUGUCUCUUGCAGGUUAACCAAUGAAAUUGAUUUUCUAGUCCAAAAGCUGGAAUAAACUCAUAAGACAAAAAGACCCUGUGGAGCUUAAAAACCAGACACACCUAACAUGUUUUCUUGGUUUUUUAGUUGGGGCGACUUCGGAGUAAAAAAAACCCUCCAAAACAUGACCACUUCCUUAUUAAGAUGAACACAUCAAAACAAYUACAUAAGACCCAGCAAUAAGAUAUUGUCUGAUCAAUGAACCAAGUUACCCCAGGGAUAACAGCGCUAUCCCCUUUUAGAGUCCCUAUCGACAAGGGGGUUUACGACCUCGAUGUUGGAUCAGGACAUCCUAAUGGUGCAGCUGCCAUUAAGG
Molecule: ribosomal RNA, 386 nt
Filed under: Algyroides nigropunctatus
Lineage: Eukaryota; Metazoa; Chordata; Lepidosauria; Squamata; Lacertidae
Description: partial 16S ribosomal RNA
Rfam family: Bacterial large subunit ribosomal RNA
Source: RNAcentral